RNAcentral lists this ribosomal RNA (253 nucleotides) under uncultured bacterium. RNAcentral's name for it is "partial 16S ribosomal RNA". It matches the Rfam family "Bacterial small subunit ribosomal RNA", at positions 524 to 776 of the family's 1533-position model. The record is from RNAcentral.
GACGAACCGUCCAAACGUUAUUCGGAAUCACUGGGCUUACAGAGUUCGUAGGCGGUCUGGAAAGUUGGGUGUGAAAUCCCUCGGCCUAACCGAGGAACUGCGCUUGAAACUACCAGACUCGAGGGAGAUAGAGGAAAGCGGAACUGAUGGUGGAGCGGUGAAAUGCGUUGAUAUCAUCAGGAACACCGGUGGCGAAGGCGGCUUUCUGGGUCUUACCUGACGCUGAGGAACGAAAGCCAGGGGAGCGAACGGG